This 487-nucleotide ribosomal RNA is filed under the name uncultured bacterium. RNAcentral describes it as "partial 16S ribosomal RNA". It matches the Rfam family "Bacterial small subunit ribosomal RNA", at positions 28 to 507 of the family's 1533-position model. The record is from RNAcentral.
GAUGAACGCUAGCGAUAGGCUUAACACAUGCAAGUCGAGGGGCAGCACAAGGUAGCUUGCUAUCUGGGUGGCGACCGGCGCACGGGUGCGUAACGCGUAUGCAACUUGCCCUAUACAGGAGGAUAACCCGUCGAAAGACGGACUAAUACUGCGUAUGCUCACAACUUGGCAUCAAGUGGUGAGGAAAGAAUUUCGGUAUAGGAUAGGCAUGCGUCCCAUUAGCUUGUUGGUGAGGUAACGGCUCACCAAGGCAACGAUGGGUAGGGGAACUGAGAGGUUUAUCCCCCAGACUGGUACUGAGACCCGGACCAGAAUCAUACGGGAGGCAGCAGUGAGGAAUAUUAGUCAAUGGGCGCGAGCCUGAACCAGCCAAGUCGCGUGAAGGAUGACUGUCUUAUGGAUUGUAAACUUCUUUUAUACGGGAAUAACAAGAGUAACGUGUGACUCCCUGAAUGUACCGAAUGAAUAAGCAUCGGCUAACUCCGUG